GACGAACGCUGGCGGCGUGCCUAAUACAUGCAAGUUGAGCGCUGAAGGUUGGUACUUGUACCAACUGGAUGAGCAGCGAACGGGUGAGUAACGCGUGGGGAAUCUGCCUUUGAGCGGGGGACAACAUUUGGAAACGAAUGCUAAUACCGCAUAAAAACUUUAAACACAAGUUUUAAGUUUGAAAGAUGCAAUUGCAUCACUCAAAGAUGAUCUCGCGUUGUAUUAGCUAGUUGGUGAGGUAAAGGCUCACCAAGGCGAUGAUACGUAGCCGACCUGAGAGGGUGAUCGGCCAAAUUGGGACUGAGACACGGCCCAAACUCCUACGGGAGGCAGCAGUAGGGAAUCUUCGGCAAUGGACGAAAGUCUGACCGAGCAACGCCGCGUGAGGGAAGAAGGGUUUCGGAUCGUAAAACUCUGUUGGUAGAGAAGAACGUUGGUGGGAGUGGAAAGCUCAUCAAGUGACGGUAACUACCCAGAAAGGGACGGCUAACUACGUG
RNAcentral lists this ribosomal RNA (497 nucleotides) under uncultured bacterium. RNAcentral's name for it is "partial 16S ribosomal RNA". It matches the Rfam family "Bacterial small subunit ribosomal RNA", at positions 28 to 507 of the family's 1533-position model. The record is from RNAcentral.